UAUUAAUUGAGAAAAUAAUCAGGCAAAUAAUUGACAAUUGGAAAUAUUCAAUAGCUGCAGCCCUGUGACUAUUGGAUCUAGUCACCAUGGGUUCACUACAGGGGAUCUGUCACUUUAAGAGAGUGUUGUAUUGUGGGUUGUUUCCUUUGACUGCUAGAGUUGGAGCUACAAAACAAAAAAGUUGACCACUGAAAUGUCAUGUUUUGAGAUGGCAAAAGGCCGACUUAAAAUGCUAAUAGCAAAAAACAAAACAAAACUGUUUUUGUGAACCCACACAGCACUGAGCUGUGGGUACAUGACUGAAAACACAAGAGUGAAGGAGUACUUGUCACACUUGGCAAACAAAUUUGGACAAACAACCAAAGGGCCUCUGUGUUGGAACGCAUCAGCACGGAGCCUGGCCCCUGUGGAACAUCAUCUGUGGGAUAUGCAGAGUUGGCAGGUUGACAGGCAGGUAUGUAGGCACAAGGUUGCUGGAAGGCUGCCUUCUCAGAUCCUGUUUAAGAAGCAUGUGUGGGGUUUU
RNAcentral lists this long non-coding RNA (523 nucleotides) under Mastacembelus armatus (zig-zag eel). RNAcentral describes it as "lncRNA (ENSMAMG00000027275.1)". The record is from RNAcentral. Lineage: Eukaryota; Metazoa; Chordata; Actinopteri; Synbranchiformes; Mastacembelidae.